Molecule: non-coding RNA, 84 nt
Organism: Pan troglodytes (chimpanzee)
Lineage: Eukaryota; Metazoa; Chordata; Mammalia; Primates; Hominidae
Source: Rfam
GCUCCCUCUCUCACAUCCCUUGCAUGGUGGAGGGUGAACUUUCUGAAAACCCCUCCCACAUGCAGGGUUUGCAGGAUGGCGAGC